Molecule: non-coding RNA, 31 nt
Filed under: Rattus norvegicus (Norway rat)
Lineage: Eukaryota; Metazoa; Chordata; Mammalia; Rodentia; Muridae
Source: RNAcentral
UGCCUGGGAAACUCUGUGUGGAAAUAGGUGU